UCGUACAACCGGCCCCAGACCUGUAACACGUGCAAGUGCUAAAAGUCCGCACACAGUCUCCCACCUACUGCUCCCUCAACAGGAGUUCCGUCAACUGCCGAAGGACCACCGGCCGGUCACGAGUCACGCUUGUCUCGUGCUAACAUGUCAUACCAACAAAACGAAUAUUGCUCCGAACAAUUGUUUGUAAAAUAAAUAUUGAAGCUAGAGAUAAUUAUUUGUAAAUAUCGUUACUUUGAUUACAAGAUGGAGCCUGUAAUCUGUAAAUUUCUGUACUUUUUAACAAUGAAUGUUUCAAUAGUUUCAC
Molecule: non-coding RNA, 307 nt
Organism: Paramuricea clavata
Lineage: Eukaryota; Metazoa; Cnidaria; Anthozoa; Malacalcyonacea; Plexauridae
Source: the annotation of a GenBank genome assembly